Molecule: ribosomal RNA, 715 nt
Filed under: uncultured bacterium
Lineage: Bacteria
Description: bacterial SSU rRNA
Rfam family: Bacterial small subunit ribosomal RNA
Source: RNAcentral
CCUACGGGAGGCAGCAGUGGGGAAUAUUGCGCAAUGGGCGGAAGCCUGACGCAGCGACGCCGCGUGGGGGAUGACGGCCUUCGGGUUGUAAACCUCUUUCGACCGGGACGAAGAGUGAUUGACGGUACCGGUAGAAGAAGCACCGGCCAACUACGUGCCAGCAGCCGCGGUAACACGUAGGGUGCGAGCGUUGUCCGGAAUUAUUGGGCGUAAAGAGCUCGUAGGCGGUGUGUCGCGUCGGCCGUGAAAACCUGGGGCUUAACUCUGGGCUUGCGGUCGAUACGGGCAUCACUUGAGUUCGGCAGGGGAGACUGGAAUUCCUGGUGUAGCGGUGAAAUGCGCAGAUAUCAGGAGGAACACCGGUGGCGAAGGCGGGUCUCUGGGCCGAUACUGACGCUGAGGAGCGAAAGCGUGGGGAGCGAACAGGAUUAGAUACCCUGGUAGUCCACGCCGUAAACGUUGGGCGCUAGGUGUGGGGGCCAUUCCACGGUCUCUGUGCCGCAGCUAACGCAUUAAGCGCCCCGCCUGGGGAGUACGGCCGCAAGGCUAAAACUCAAAGGAAUUGACGGGGGCCCGCACAAGCGGCGGAGCAUGUGGAUUAAUUCGAUGCAACGCGAACAACCUUACCUGGGUUUGACAUCGCCGGAGAACUCGCAGAGAUGUGGGGUCCCUUCGGGGCCGGUGACAGGUGGUGCAUGGCUGUCGUCCGCUCGUG